GCCUUCGUGGUGUAACGAUCAGCACACUCGGCGCGUAAUCGAGAGGUCCAGGUUCGAGUCCCUGCGAGGACA
RNAcentral lists this transfer RNA (72 nucleotides) under Stegodyphus mimosarum. It matches the Rfam family "tRNA". From Rfam's summary of the family: Transfer RNA (tRNA) molecules are approximately 80 nucleotides in length. Lineage: Eukaryota; Metazoa; Arthropoda; Arachnida; Araneae; Eresidae. The record is from Rfam by way of RNAcentral.